ACUCAAAGGAAUUGACGGGGACCCGCACAAGCGGUGGAGCAUGUGGCUUAAUUCGAUGCAACGCGAAGAACCUUACCUGGGCUUGACAUGUUAGUCGUAGAUUUGUGAAAGCUUAUCGUCACUUCGGGUGGACUAUCACAGGUGCUGCAUGGCUGUCGUCAGCUCGUGUCGUGAGAUGUUGGGUUAAGUCCCGUAACGAGCGCAACCCCUAUGAACUGUUGCCAGCGGGUAAUGCCGGGGACUCUGUUCAGACUGCCCAGAUUAACUGGGAGGAAGGAGGGGAUGACGUCAAGUCAGUAUGGCCCUUACGCCCAGGGCUGCACACGUGCUACAAUGUCCAGUACAAUGUGAACCGAGACCGCGAGGUGGAGGAAAUCUAUAAAACUGGGCUCAGUUCGGAUUGUAGGCUGCAACUCGCCUACAUGAAGUUGGAAUCGCUAGUAAUGGUACAUCAGCUACGGUACCGUGAAUACGUUCCCGGGUCUUGUACACACCGCCCGU
RNAcentral lists this ribosomal RNA (501 nucleotides) under uncultured bacterium. Its description in RNAcentral is "bacterial SSU rRNA". It matches the Rfam family "Bacterial small subunit ribosomal RNA", at positions 899 to 1397 of the family's 1533-position model. The record is from RNAcentral.